UCCUGGUUGGUUAAGUUGGCGGUGCUUUCCAAUGUAAAUGGACAGGUGCCUGGUUCGAUACCAGGACCAGAAG
This 73-nucleotide transfer RNA is filed under the name Ixodes scapularis (black-legged tick). Its description in RNAcentral is "tRNA-Tyr". Lineage: Eukaryota; Metazoa; Arthropoda; Arachnida; Ixodida; Ixodidae. The record is from RNAcentral.